This 255-nucleotide ribosomal RNA is filed under the name uncultured bacterium. Its description in RNAcentral is "partial 16S ribosomal RNA". It matches the Rfam family "Bacterial small subunit ribosomal RNA", at positions 524 to 776 of the family's 1533-position model. The record is from RNAcentral.
UACGGAGGGUGCGAGCGUUGUCCGGAUUUAUUGGGUUUAAAGGGUGCGUAGGUGGGUUAAUAAGUCAGUGGUGAAAUACGGUUGCUCAACAAUCGAGGUGCCAUUGAUACUGUUAAUCUUGAAACAAGUGGAGGUUGCCGGAAUGGAUGGUGUAGCGGUGAAAUGCAUAGAUAUCAUCCAGAACACCGAUUGCGAAGGCAGGUGACUACGUUUGAUUUGACACUGAGGCACGAAAGCAUGGGGGAGCAAAACAGG